This 427-nucleotide ribosomal RNA is filed under the name uncultured bacterium. Its description in RNAcentral is "bacterial SSU rRNA". It matches the Rfam family "Bacterial small subunit ribosomal RNA", at positions 355 to 773 of the family's 1533-position model. The record is from RNAcentral.
UGGGGAAUUGUUCGCAAUGGGCGCAAGCCUGACGACGCAACGCCGCGUGGAGGACGAAGAUCUUCGGGUCGUAAACUCCUUUCGAUCGGGAAGAAUGUUCUCGGGCUGAAUAAUCCCGAGAAGUGACGGUACCGAGAGAAGAAGCCCCGGCUAACUCCGUGCCAGCAGCCGCGGUAAUACGGGGGGGGCAAGCGUUGUUCGGAAUUACUGGGCGUAAAGGGCGCGUAGGCGGUUUGCUAAGUUGAAUGUGAAAACUCUGGGCUUAACCCAGAGCCUGCAUUCAAUACUGGCAGGCUAGAGUUCUGGAGGGGAUAGCGGAAUUCCUGGUGUAGCGGUGAAAUGCGUAGAUAUCAGGAGGAACACCGGUGGCGAAGGCGGCUAUCUGGACAGAGUCUGACGCUGAGGCGCGAAAGCUAGGGGAGCAAAC